AGUGAACGCUAGCGGUAGGCCUAACACAUGCAAGUCGAACGGCAGCACAGUAAGAGCUUGCUCUUACGGGUGGCGAGUGGCGGACGGGUGAGGAAUACAUCGGAAUCUACUUUUUCGUGGGGGAUAACGUAGGGAAACUUACGCUAAUACCGCAUACGACCUACGGGUGAAAGCAGGGGAUCUUCGGACCUUGCGCGAUUGAAUGAGCCGAUGUCGGAUUAGCUAGUUGGCGGGGUAAAGGCCCACCAAGGCGACGAUCCGUAGCUGGUCUGAGAGGAUGAUCAGCCACACUGGAACUGAGACACGGUCCAGACUCCUACGGGAGGCAGCAGUGGGGAAUAUUGGACAAUGGGCGCAAGCCUGAUCCAGCCAUACCGCGUGGGUGAAGAAGGCCUUCGGGUUGUAAAGCCCUUCUGUUGGGAAAGAAAAGCAGCAGGUUAAUACCCCGCUGUUCUGACGGUACCCAAAGAAUAAGCACCGGCUAACUUCGUG
This 492-nucleotide ribosomal RNA is filed under the name uncultured bacterium. Its description in RNAcentral is "partial 16S ribosomal RNA". It matches the Rfam family "Bacterial small subunit ribosomal RNA", at positions 29 to 507 of the family's 1533-position model. The record is from RNAcentral.